GGGGUUGUGGCUCAGAGGUAGAGCACUUGCCUAGCAUGUGUGAGGCCCUGGGUUCAAUCCUCAGCACCA
This 69-nucleotide transfer RNA is filed under the name Urocitellus parryii (Arctic ground squirrel). Its description in RNAcentral is "Spermophilus parryii (Arctic ground squirrel) tRNA". It matches the Rfam family "tRNA". From Rfam's summary of the family: Transfer RNA (tRNA) molecules are approximately 80 nucleotides in length. Their secondary structure includes four short double-helical elements and three loops (D, anti-codon, and T loops). Further hydrogen bonds mediate the characteristic L-shaped molecular structure. tRNAs have two regions of fundamental functional importance: the anti-codon, which is responsible for specific mRNA codon recognition, and the 3' end, to which the tRNAs corresponding amino acid is attached (by aminoacyl-tRNA synthetases). tRNAs cope with the degeneracy of the genetic code in two manners: having more than one tRNA (with a specific anti-codon) for a particular amino acid; and 'wobble' base-pairing, i.e. permitting non-standard base-pairing at the 3rd anti-codon position. RNAcentral also lists the same sequence under 2 other names. Lineage: Eukaryota; Metazoa; Chordata; Mammalia; Rodentia; Sciuridae. The record is from Rfam by way of RNAcentral.